GAGUGGUGAAGAGCAUAUUCCAGUUCCCGAUGGGAGAAGAUGCCAUUAAGAGUCCAAAGGGAAUUGAUGCGAGGGGAGGAAGUAGGGCAUAGUGUCCCUUAGGGUGUCGUCGGCAGAAGUGGCUAGUUAGUGCCUGCACCUGGGCAGUUGGCGUCGUGAUGUGGUCUCCAGAGGAAGAGACUAAGAGGCCCCAAGAGUGCUGGGGACUUUGGUCAGUCGACCGAAGUCUCCGAAAGAGGCGGAAGAGAGAGCCGGAUUCAGCACCCACCCGGCAGAGCUGGUCCCACCAGCGACGUCGAGCUAGGCGAGAUUCGCGCCGGAGAAGAGCGGAAAGCCUACGGUACUCCAUCCACCACGUUCCGUCAGCUAACCUACGAGCCAGGUGGAAGGCUCUACGUUUCUGAGCAUGUAGGCG
Molecule: long non-coding RNA, 415 nt
Filed under: Androctonus crassicauda
Lineage: Eukaryota; Metazoa; Arthropoda; Arachnida; Scorpiones; Buthidae
Source: RNAcentral